UUCCCACGCCGGGAAUCGAACCCAGGUCAUGGGUGAAAGCCAGAUAUCUUAGCCACUAGACCAUGUGCAA
Cordylochernes scorpioides is the source of this 70-nucleotide non-coding RNA. The record is from the annotation of a GenBank genome assembly. NCBI's taxonomy places the organism in Eukaryota, Metazoa, Arthropoda, Arachnida, Pseudoscorpiones, Chernetidae.